AUGUUGACGGAGAAGUGGGAUGCUACUGGCCAACCUUUGGCGGAAACAAAGCUGUGAAGGCCGCCAUGAACUGCACCCCCCCGGGACAAGGAUGGCGAUUCCAUCAAAAAAUAAGGGUGCUGGCAACCUGUGGCACCUUUGCCAAAGCAAGACGUUACCUGACCCGAUCGCUUGAGGAAGGCUGCCUUACAGCAGACCUGCAAUCGGAUGAUGGUGAGAUGGGGCCAAGGAAAAGACGACCAAACAAAAGGUAUUUGGAGGAGGACAGCGAGGAGGAGGC
Long non-coding RNA from Neoarius graeffei (lesser salmon catfish), 280 nucleotides. RefSeq lists it as uncharacterized. The transcript is spliced from 3 exons. Lineage: Eukaryota; Metazoa; Chordata; Actinopteri; Siluriformes; Ariidae. The record is from RefSeq and is a predicted model, not a curated record.